AGAAAGCAAGUUGCAACAGUUCUGAACCGUUGGUCUCGUGGCAAGUUGUCGGGUGCUUCCAAGAGCUAGUGAGGAUGAAGAAGUUCCCGUCGUGAUUAGCGAGAUUGCAGGUAGCGUAUAGGAUGGUUAUGUUCAGCAUUGCAGAAACCUUUGUUAAAUUCAUUCAUCAGAAAGAUGCUUGCAUUGCCAUGUAUAUGAUAAAAGAAAUGUAUUUUAUGGGAGCUCCAGUCUACACAGUUCGCGAUAACUUUAUAAGCAAUAUAUAUAGCUUUCAUGG
Molecule: long non-coding RNA, 277 nt
Organism: Lathyrus oleraceus (garden pea)
Lineage: Eukaryota; Viridiplantae; Streptophyta; Magnoliopsida; Fabales; Fabaceae
Exons: 3
Source: RefSeq, a predicted model, not a curated record